This 478-nucleotide ribosomal RNA is filed under the name uncultured bacterium. RNAcentral's name for it is "partial 16S ribosomal RNA". It matches the Rfam family "Bacterial small subunit ribosomal RNA", at positions 28 to 507 of the family's 1533-position model. The record is from RNAcentral.
GACGAACGCUGGCGGCGUGCUUAACACAUGCAAGUCGAACGGGAUUUAGUAAACGGAAGCCUCGGUGGAAGAUUACUAAUGAGAGUGGCGAACGGGUGAGUAACGCGUGAGCAACCUGCCUAUGUCAGUGGGAUAGCCUCGGGAAACCGGGAUUAAUACCGCAUAAAAUCGUACAAACACAUGUUUCAACGUUCAAAGAUUUAUCGGUCAUAGAUGGGCUCGCGUCUUAUUAGCUAGUUGGUGAGAUAACAGCCCACCAAGGCGACGAUCAGUAGACGGUCUGAGAGGAUGGACGGACACAUUGGAGCUGAGACACGGUGCAGACUCCUACGGGAGGCAGGAGUGGGGAAUAUUGCACAAUGGGGGAAACCCUGAUGCAGCGACGCUGCGUGAACGAAGAAGGUAUUCGUAUCGUAAAGUUCUGUCCUAUGGGAAGAUAAUGACAGUACCAUAGAAGAAAGCUCCGGCUAAAUACGUG